UACGUAUGUGGCAAGCGUUGUCCGGAAUUACUGGGCGUAAAGGGCGUGUAGGCGGCCUUUUAAGUCAGGCGUGAAAUCCAUGGGCUUAACCCAUGAAUUGCGUUUGAAACUGGAGGGCUUGAGGAUCGGAGAGGGCAGUGGAAUUCCCAGUGUAGCGGUGAAAUGCGUAGAUAUUGGGAGGAACACCAGUGGCGAAGGCGACUGCCUGGACGACACCUGACGCUGAGGCGCGAAAGCUAGGGGAGCAAACGGG
Molecule: ribosomal RNA, 253 nt
Filed under: uncultured bacterium
Lineage: Bacteria
Description: partial 16S ribosomal RNA
Rfam family: Bacterial small subunit ribosomal RNA
Source: RNAcentral